Molecule: ribosomal RNA, 409 nt
Filed under: uncultured rumen bacterium
Lineage: Bacteria
Description: bacterial SSU rRNA
Rfam family: Bacterial small subunit ribosomal RNA
Source: RNAcentral
CAGCAGCCGCGGUAAUACAGAGGGUGCGAGCGUUAACCGGAAUUACUGGGCGUAAAGCGAGUGUAGGUGGCUCAUUAAGUCACAUGUGAAAUCCCCGGGCUUAACCUGGGAACUGCAUGUGAUACUGGUGGUGCUAGAAUAUGUGAGAGGGAAGUAGAAUUCCAGGUGUAGCGGUGAAAUGCGUAGAGAUCUGGAGGAAUACCGAUGGCGAAGGCAGCUUCCUGGCAUAAUAUUGACACUGAGAUUCGAAAGCGUGGGUAGCAAACAGGAUUAGAUACCCUGGUAGUCCACGCCGUAAACGAUGUCUACUAGCCGUUGGGGUCCUUGAGACUUUAGUGGCGCAGUUAACGCGAUAAGUAGACCGCCUGGGGAGUACGGCCGCAAGGUUAAAACUCAAAUAAAUUGACGG